RNAcentral lists this unclassified non-coding RNA (375 nucleotides) under uncultured fungus. RNAcentral describes it as "partial contains 5.8S ribosomal RNA and internal transcribed spacer 2". The stretch from base 1 to 133 matches the Rfam family "5.8S ribosomal RNA", at positions 22 to 154 of the family's 154-position model. The record is from RNAcentral. Lineage: Eukaryota; Fungi.
UGGCUCUCGCAUCGAUGAAGAACGCAGCGAAAUGCGAUAAGUAAUGUGAAUUGCAGAUUUCAGUGAAUCAUCGAAUCUUUGAACGCACCUUGCACCCUUUGGUAUUCCGAAGGGUAUGCCUGUUUGAGUGUCAUUAAAUUCUCAAACCUUUGACUUUAUUGUUGGAGGAUUUGGAUGUGGGAGUCUUUGCUGGACGCUCUUGAGUGGUCAGCUCUCCUUAAAUGCAUUAGCGGUUACUGAUUCUCGCUACUUGGUGUUGAUAGUCUAUCUUACAUCCUGUAGUUGAAGUCAACUUAUGUAUCUGCUUCUAAUCGUCGCUCUGUUGUGACAAUCUAUUGACUAUUUGACCUCAAAUCAGGUAGGACUACCCGCUGA